CCUACGGGAGGCAGCAGUGGGGAAUAUUGGACAAUGGGCGCAAGCCUGAUCCAGCCAUGCCGCGUGAGUGAUGAAGGCCUUAGGGUUGUAAAGCUCUUUCAGCUGGGAAGAUAAUGACGGUACCAGCAGAAGAAGCCCCGGCUAACUUCGUGCCAGCAGCCGCGGUAAUACGAAGGGGGCUAGCGUUGUUCGGAAUUACUGGGCGUAAAGCGCACGUAGGCGGGACGAUAAGUCAGGGGUGAAAGCCCAAGGCUCAACCUUGGAAUUGCCUUUGAUACUGUCGUUCUUGAGUCCGGGAGAGGUGAGUGGAACUCCGAGUGUAGAGGUGAAAUUCGUAGAUAUUCGGAAGAACACCAGUGGCGAAGGCGGCUCACUGGCCCGGUACUGACGCUGAGGUGCGAAAGCGUGGGGAGCAAACAGGAUUAGAUACCCUAGUAGUC
This 440-nucleotide ribosomal RNA is filed under the name uncultured bacterium. RNAcentral describes it as "bacterial SSU rRNA". It matches the Rfam family "Bacterial small subunit ribosomal RNA", at positions 338 to 795 of the family's 1533-position model. The record is from RNAcentral.